This 30-nucleotide non-coding RNA is filed under the name Mus musculus (house mouse). Lineage: Eukaryota; Metazoa; Chordata; Mammalia; Rodentia; Muridae. The record is from RNAcentral.
UGCCAGAGAGCAACUUCUAUCUCUAUCUGA